GAUUACAAUAAUAAAGAAAGUGUUAUAUAUAAGUUUCGAUCGACUACUAACCGCCCGCUUACUCAUGUGUACAGAAAAUAUAUAAAGGUUUGAACACGUAGGACGGUCAGCGUCAAAAUUAAAAUGUAGUGCCACCCCCAACUCCGGAACCAUUGCUCAUUUCCGCCCCCGCGCCGCCGUCCCAGAGGAGCCGAGUAAUUUGGGGUUCAAAAUACAUUUCCUGCAAGUAAUAUGUCCAUUUAUGUUUAAUGAUGUGGGCUGCGAAACUAUGAAUCAAUUGUCUCGAGAUGAAUCGGUUUCUUUUGUUCUCCUUGCUUGUAAAGUUAUUAUGUAACUGUGUGGUAAUGAAAUAGAAUAUUUUUAAGUAAGACAUGCUAUUUGGACUGGUACGAGGUACCUCGUUUUAUGCUGCUAGAACUUCUCGGACCGAGGGAUUUUGACAUUUUGUGAUAGAGUCCCGUUUUCUAUGUCUACGAUUAAGUAUGUUAUCCGUAGCUUGAGUGAGAAUGUUGAGCGAGGAUCCGUUGAAAGAAGGAUGUCAAUUUUGUAAUUGUAUUGCAUUAACUUUUCGAGUAAGGUGGUUUCUUUAA
This is a long non-coding RNA of Erythranthe guttata (spotted monkey flower), 590 nucleotides long. RefSeq lists it as uncharacterized. The record is from RefSeq and is a predicted model, not a curated record. NCBI's taxonomy places the organism in Eukaryota, Viridiplantae, Streptophyta, Magnoliopsida, Lamiales, Phrymaceae.